Molecule: long non-coding RNA, 27983 nt
Filed under: Citrus maxima (pomelo)
Lineage: Eukaryota; Viridiplantae; Streptophyta; Magnoliopsida; Sapindales; Rutaceae
Description: long non-coding RNA (CMAX_LNC001686)
Source: RNAcentral
AGGAAGCCUGUAACUUCAGCACAAGUUCUACAUUCGCGACGAUUGGGUCAAAUGAAACAGGGGUUAAGUAUUCCUGGAAGGGAGCGGCCUUUUGAUCCAAAGACAGCAAGUCUAGAGGACUCGGAAUUCAUCCUUAACAAAAAUGUGCCUCUUUUCGACGUUGUUCCUCCGAUUCUUGAUUCAAUUUUUCGUUCUGCUUGAUAAUUUUCAAGGGAGAAAGUAACAUUUUCAUUUUUAUGCAACAAAGUCAUCUAGAGACAAACCUUCUCUUGUGUUUUCACAGCUUUGGGGAAACUUCAAAGGACACGGCUUGGUCUGUUCAUUAUGCUAACUAUAGCUGCCUAUAAAUAAGAGGGUUGACCUCAAUUGUGUGAGUAAAAGAACUGCUAUACUUAUGUUCCUUCCUGUAAUAACGAAAGCCUCUUCCUUAAUUCAGUGUCUCUACUUCUUUAGCAAAAUAAAAUAAAUUCUUGAUCGAAAUACACCCAACUUUUCCAAUUUUCUUAUAAAAAUGACACCACAAUAGGAUGGGAUUGUCCUUGUGUUGUGUCAUUGAUCUAUUGAUGCAGCGGAAGUUUAAUGUUCAAAAUAUUCCGUUGCUGCAGUUUGGUAUUAGAGCUAAAACCUGGUCCACCAAUCUAACUCCAUCUACCACCAAACCUUUCCUUUUUUCCUUUUUUGUUUUUUUCCGUUUAGUUUAAAAAAAAACCCAAACAACACCAAAAAAGCAUAGAAAAAAAAAAGAAAAAAAUUAUAUCAUGAAAUCACAACAUCGACGUGAAGAUUUCAUCUUGAGAGAUGUUUUAAUUAAGAUGUUGAGGAUUUUACGUUUGAUUUCUCAAGAUUUAGAGAAACUUCGAGAUAGAAAAUCUUUACACAUAAAGCAGACAUAUGGAUUCGAUGAAGUUGUUCAUGAUGAUGUUUGUUAUGAGGAUAAUGAGGAAAAUGGUAACUUUGUUUCUCUCGACAAUAUUAUUCCUUCCAAAGAGAAUAUUAAUUGGCCAUUCGUGUCUACAACAAAUCCUCAAUACAAAGAUAUUAAUUUGGAUCAAUUGCCAUAAUUUGAUGAGUAUCUUGAUAUUAUAGGACGAGAAGAGGUAAUUGUUCAUCCAUCUUUUGAUCUUGUGGAGGAAAGAGAGAUAGUUGUUGAUACAAUCUCCUAUUGUUCUCUUGAUUUGCCAAAAGAAGACAAAAAGAGUUGUGAUAUUUUUCAACAAUUAGUGGAUUAUGAGAAGAAAUCGUUUUUCCUCAACUAUGUUGAAGUUCGACACGAACGAUACAAGAAAACAUUAUUAAAGAAGUUGUUGAUAGAAGAAUUUAUUUUACGCCAUUGGAGUGAUUGGAUGGACGUUAUUACAAAAGUUGGAAAAUUUAAAGUUCGUCGUCUAUGUCAAAGCUCUGUUUUAAAAAUUAAUCCUUAUGCACAUGAAGAUGUUCUUGAAGACUACAACAUACAAAAUUCGAGGACGAAUUUUCUCCAACCUAGCGGGAAUGAUGCAGAGCAAGAAAUUGAAGAAAUCCUAAUUAUAUUUAAAUGUAUAAUAUUUAGGAAUAUUUUAAUUAAUUUGUAUUAUAGUUUAAUUUGGUUUCCUAUUUAGAGUCUUAUUGUUUAGGUAUUGCUUAUUUGGGUAAUAUUCCUAAUUUAGGCAUAAGUCUUAUUAAAAUAGGUUUUCUAAUCAUAUUAGGAUAAGUCUUACUUAGUAUAAAUAAGUGUCUUUUGUAGCUUUUACAAGCAGAGAAUUUUGAGUUCAAUAAUAUUUCAAUUUUCAAAUCUCUUUGUGAGUAUUUGAACAGUUAAUUCUCGGUAUUCUGAAUCAACGAGUCUUAACCCCUAAGUUCGCGAUAUUCUUUUGAAUCAAUGUGAAUUUAGUUGUUCUUUUAUUCCGGUAUUCUCUAGAAUCAACGGAAUAUUUUGAACAUUAAACUUCUGCUACAUCAUAAGUUUCUUUUGUAGCUUUUACAAGCAGAGAAUUUUGAGUUCAAUAAUAUUUCAAUUUUCAAAUCUCUUUGUGAGUAUUUGAACAGUUAAUUCUCGGUAUUCUGUGGAAUCAACGAGUCUUAAUCCCUAAAUUCGCGGUAUUCUUUUGAAUCAACAUGAAUUUAGUUGUUCUUUUGUUCCGGUAUUCUCUAGAAUCAACGGAAUAUUUUGAACAUUAAACUUCUGCUACAUCAUAAGUGUCUUUUGUAGCUUUUACAAGCAGAGAAUUUUGAGUUCAAUAAUAUUUCAAUUUUCAAAUCCUUUUGUGAGUAUUUGAACAGUUAAUUCUCGGUAUUCUGUGGGAUCAACGAGUCUUAAUCCCUAAAUUCGCGGUAUUCUUUUGAAUUAACGUGAAUUUAGUUGUUCUUUUGUUCCGGUAUUCUCUAGAAUCAACGGAAUAUUUUGAACAUUAAACUGAUGGACGUUAUUACAAAAGUUGGAAAAUUUAAAGUUCGUCGUCUAUGUCAAAGCUCUGUUUUAAAUAUUAAUCCUUAUGCACAUGAAGAUAUUCUUGAAGACUACAACAUACAAAAUUCGAGGACGAAUUUUUUCCAACCUGGCGGGAAUAAUGCAAAGUAAGAAAUUGAAGAAAUCCUAAUUAUAUUUAAAUGUAUAAUAUUUAGGAAUAUUUUAAUUAAUUUGUAUUCUAGUUUAAUUUGGUUUCCUAUUUAGAGUCUUAUUGUUUAGGCAUUGCUUAUUUGAGUAAUAUUCCUAAUUUAGGUAUAAGUCUUAUUAAAAUAGGUUUUCUAAUCAAGUUAGGAUAAGUGAUGCAGCGGAAGUUUAAUGUUCAAAAUAUUCCGUUGAUUCUAGAGAAUACCGAAAUAAAAGAACAACUAAAUUCACAUUGAUUCAAAAGAAUACCGCGAACUUAGGGGUUAAGACUCGUUGAUUCAGAAUACCGAGAAUUAACUGUUCAAAUACUCACAAAGAGAUUUGAAAAUUGAAAUAUUAUUGAACUCAAAAUUCUCUGCUUGUAAAAGCUACAAAAGACACUUAUUUAUACUAAGUAAGACUUAUCCUAAUAUGAUUAGAAAACCUAUUUUAAUAAGACUUAUGCCUAAAUUAGGAAUAUUACCCAAAUAAGUAAUACCUAAACAAUAAGACUCUAAAUAGGAAACUAAAUUAAACUAUAAUACAAAUUAAUUAAAAUAUUCCUAAAUAUUAUACAUUUAAAUAUAAUUAGGAUUUCUUCAAUUUCUUGCUCUGCAUUAUCUAUCCAUAUUUGUUUUUCCCAAAACAAUUUCCAUGAAGGAGGAUGUUUUGCUGCUUGUUAGUGCACGCUAUUUAAGCACAAGACAUGAUUGAGAUUUAUGCAAGGUAUGUGGUAGAAUUUAUGUAAGACGACCGAUGAAGCUAAACAUGAGAGUUAGUAACUUUUACUGUGGUGAUCAACGCGUUGAAGAAAAAUUUUAGAAUUUUUAUUAUAAGUGGUGCAUACAAAAGUUGGUGAGUCGAACUUGUACUCAAAUACUAGCUCAUGUAUUAGGAGUUGCCUUAGGCUUAUGUUAUUAAUCUAGUAACUAAUAUUAGCGAUAUGAAAUAUUUUUUCUAUCAUCUUCCAUCACAUGUGUGUAGGUCAAUCUUUUUGUUUGGUCCUUGUCUUGUGAUAAGAUAGUGUGAGUGAUUUUGAGAGAAAAUAUGAAAAACACAAACAAUGAAAAUUCACUUUUACUUAAACUAAGACACAGAUUUUUUUACACUGAAGUUGAUAGAAGACACUCGAAUGCGCAGGAGUGAAAUCUUGACAAAUUAAAGCGAGAACUAAGACAUGCUAGUCCUUUCUCGCGCAUUUAGUUGACAUUAUUUUGCUUUGCAAAUAAAUGCGGGCAUGGUUGAAGGCAUUUUAUCUUUUCGGAAGUGGAUGGAGAAAUAAAUAUAAUUAAAAGGGAUGCGAAUAAUAAAUGCCAUUUUUCUUAAUAACGAAGAAGAAUAUAUUAGAAAUAAAUUGAAAUGUAACAAAAUACUUGAAAUAAUUCAAGUGGUGGGUUUUUUCUUUGUCAAUAACGCCCGAUAGUUCCUUGUUUUGAAGAAAGCUCAUUGUGCUGAACUGAGAAGAGAGAAGAAGCCAUAAAUUAAAAUGCGUCAACAAUGCCACGUCAACAAUGUUGAGUCAGCUGAUUCUGUUAAGCAGCAAUGAGAGUUCACGUGUAUUGCUGUUAGUUAGUAUUAGCCAGUCUCUUACUGAUUAGUUAACUAUUUUUCAGUGUAAUACAAAUUAGUUUGUUAUAGCUUUUACUAAUAAACAUGUAAGUAUAUAAAGUUUGUAAGAACUACUCAUUUUUAACUAAUGAAUUAGAUCCAGAAUAUUCAUAAACUUUCUCUCUGUUUUCUCGAUAACCAAACAGCAUUUUCAAUUCAUUUUACAUGGUAUCAGAGCCAGAAAUAUGGCAAGCUCAAGCAAUCCAAACACAGCAAACAUGAAUCAAUCAAUACAAACUACCUUUUCAUUCAUUACGCCAAUCAAAUUGGAUAGAUCCAAUUAUAUGCUCUGGCGAAAUCAAGUAUUAGCUUCUAUAAGAGGAAACAGACUUGAAGGCUAUAUCAAUGGAGAAAAAGCAGCACCUACUCAGUUUCUUACUUCUGGAAGCUAUGCUGAAACAAUGGGAAGAGUUACACAACAAGUUGAAAAUCCAGAAUAUACGAUCUGGAGGUCACAGGAUCAGACAUUACUAAGCUGGCUAUUAAGCUCAAUUACUGAAGGUAUCCUCAGUCACGUUCAUUCUUGUAAUACUGCAUAUGAUGUGUGGAAAACAUUGGAGAAAAAAUUUGGUGCAAAAUCUGAAGCUAGAGUUCUUUAACUCAAAUAUAAGAUGAGUGUUUUGAGGAAAGAUUCGCUAAAUGUAGAAGAUUAUUGUUUGAAAAUGAAACAAAUAGAAGAUAAGUUAGCAUGUGCUGGUAGUUCAGUUUCUGACAAAGAUCUGUUACAACAAAUCCUUAAUGGUCUUGAACCAGGCUAUCUAGAUUUAGCAACUUUCAUUACUGCUAGUAAAUUAGAUUUUGAUGAUGCAUAUGCAUUGCUACUCACACAUGAAACAAGAUUGGAAUAGAGUCUAAAUGAAAAACAUAUGUUAAAUGCAAAUCUUGCUAAUGUUUCUCAUAAUAAUAGUAGCUAUGGUAUGAUGAAUGUUUAUUAUGCUCAAGCAAGAGGUAAUGCUCGAAGAGGUGGAUAUAAUGGAGGAUUUCAUGGUGGAAAUCAAUUUGGAAGGAACAAUUUUCAUACUGGAAAGGGAAUGUUUGUCAAUUCUCAUCCAAGAGGCUUUCCUUCUGGAUCUGGAAAUUUUGGUAAUAAUCUUGGUAGAGGUCAAAUGGUUGGAAACAAUAAUAAGCAGGCACAAUUCAUGAGAGGACAAUAUAGUGCUAACUCUAGUUUGUCAAAUUCUGAUGGUAAUGAUGAACAAGCUGUUGUCUGUCAAAUCUGCUUUAAAUCUGGACACACAGCAGCAGAAUGUUGGCAUAGAUUUGAAGAAAACUAUAUGCCUCAACACAUGAAAAGAGGAAGAAAUCAGAGAUCAUCUUAUAUGACAUACUUUAAUGCACCUACUGAAGAUUCAUGGCCUACUGCAGCUGCUUAUUCAGGGAUACCUCACAUGUAUAAUCCACCAUGUUCUUCAUACAUAUUUGAUUCAAUGAGCUUACCUGUGAAUGGAGCUGGAGCUGCUUAUGUUGCUAACUUUGAGGGACCAGCAGAUGAAGGAUGGUAUCUUGACAAUGGAGCUACACACCAUCUAACAAACAAUAUGGCAAAUAUGCAUGUCAGCAAUGAGUUCAGAGGUAAUGACAAGCUUAUCAUUGGUGAUGGUAAAGGUAUGUCAAUCACACAUAUUGGUAAUACCAAUCUUCCAGUUCAAAGCUCUAAAACACAAUCUGCAUAUACAUGCAUUGCACUCAAAGAUAUACUGCUUGUUCCAUCUAUUACAAAGAAUUUAAUAAGUGUUUCCAAACUCACCACUGAUAAUGACUUAUCUGUUGAAUUCCUUGGAUCUGUUUACUUUGUGAAGGAUAUACUGAAGGGGAAAAUUCUGCUACAGGGUAUUGUUGAGAAAGGUUUAUACAAAUUGCAGCUGAGUUCAUCACCACAAUCUACAUAUACCUCUUUUCUAUCCCAAAGUUCAAUAAAUAAACCUGUAUCUAUGCUAUCUCAGUGUUAUCUUAGCACUUCAGUUAAUAGUCUUUGUUCUGGAAAAUGUUUUCAGUCAAAUAAGAAUACUUGUAGCACUGAUUCAUUCAAUAAAAUGUCUUUACUUCACAAAAGAUUUGGUCAUCCUAAUACUCAAAGUCUACUUCAUUUACUUAAGCUUGUGCAUCCCAAUUUGUGCUCUACAAAUAUUGUUAAUCAAGCAACAAAGCAUUUCUGUGAAGCAUGUCAGUUGGGAAAAUUUCAUAGGCUUCAUUUUCCAAUCACUGAUAUCAAAUCCACAGCAGCACUAGAACUUGUUCAUACUGAUCUAUGGGGUCCCUCACCAGCAUGUUCUAGAGAUGGUUUUAGAUAUUACAUUAGUUUUGUUGAUGAUCACACUAGAUACACCUGGAUUUAUCCUUUGAAACUUAAAUCAGAAGCUCUAGAAGUGUUCAAACUAUUUAAACUUCAAGUUGAAAAUCAAUUUCAAACUACUAUCAAAAUUCUACAAUCUGACUGGGGGGGAGAAUACAGACCAUUUACUUCCUUCCUAAAUGAGUGUGGCAUUCUUUUUAAACAUUCUUGUCCUUACACUCACCAUCAAAAUGGACUUGGUGAAAAAAAACACAGACAGAUUGUAGAAUUAGGACUGACACUUCUAGCCCAAGCCAAACUUCCUUUUCAAUUGGUGGGAUGCUUUUCAUGCCUCAGUCUAUCACAUUAAUAGACUCUCUACUUCUGUACUUAAGAUGUCUACUCCAUAUAAAAAGCUUUAUAAACACAAGGCUGAUUAUAACAUGCUGAAAUGCUUUGGAUGUGCUUGUUAUCCAUAUAUGAGAGAUUACAAUAAGCAUAAGUUUGACUAUCACACAACCAAGUGCAUCUGUCUUGGUUAUAAUCCAUCUCAUAAAGGCUACAAGUGUUUUCACCCAUCUGGUCAUAUAUAUAUAGCUAGGCAUGUUGUCUUUGAUGAACACUCAUAUCUAUUUGCUUCAGAUCCUAGCUUUCAUUCUUCAAAUAAAUCUAAGUCUGAUACACAUUGCACAAUUACUCCUAUACAAGUUUUUCAGUUGUCAACAUUACCUGUCAUAUCAGAUUUUUCAGUCACCAGCAAUGAAUCUUUCUCUCAAGCAUACUCCAGUGGCAACAUUUUCCCUCCAACAGUAGUCUUAACACAUGCAAAUAGUUUAGACUAGCAACCCUCACACACAAAUAGAAAUAAUCCAUCUGCACCUACAAUGUUACCUUCUGUACCUGAUACAACACCAGAUCAGCCUUCAGAUGAAAAUUCACAAAACCAACAUAAUAAUAAUACCUCUCAUCUCAAUCAAACAGUGGUAACCUCAUCAUCAUUAAACCAACAUCCCAUGAUCACUAUAGGAAAAGCAGGUAUUUUUAAGCCAAAGAUAUAUGCUGCAGUAUUGUUACAUAAAGAACCAGACACUGUUCAGGAGGCUAUCAAUGAUGAGAGAUGGUUUCAAGCAAUGAAAGCUGAAUAUGAUGCACUAAUGUCAAAUGGUACCUGGACACUUGUGCCAAGAACAGAAGAUCACAGACUUGUUGGCAACAAAUGGGUGUUUCGAGUAAAAUCAAAUACUGAUGGAAGUGUUGCAAAAUAUAAGGCAAGGUUGGUUGCUAAAGGAUUCCAACAAAUAGAAGGGGUUAACUACUUUGAGACUUUCAGUCCAGUGGUGAAAGCAGCAACAGUUAGAGUGGUCCUAAGCCUAGCAGUAAUGAAUCAGUGGUAGAUAAGACAGGUUGAUGUGAAUAAUGCAUUCUUAAAUGGAGAUCUAAUUGAGGAGGUAUAUAUGAGUCAACUAGAAGGGUUUAUUGAUUCCAAAAGACCUGAUUUUGUGUGCAAACUUCACAAGGCACUUUAUGGUUUGAAACAAUUUCCACGAGCAUGGUUUGACAAGCUGAGAAAUAGUCUUAUGCAAUGGGGAUUUGAGAAUUCUAAGUCUAACUCAUCUUUGUUCUUGAAAAAGAAUAAAAGAUCAAUUAUUUUAAUCCUGAUAUAUGUAGAUGACAUAUUGAUUACAGGAUCAAGUUGUGAUGCGCUGGAAGAUUUUAUCAAGCUAUUCAGUUCUGCAUUUGCAUUAAAGGAUCUGGGAAAGCUAUCUUAUUUUCUUGGAAUAGAAGUUUUGUAUGAUCUUGAUAGUGUGUAUCUGUCACAAAGGAAGUAUAUUAGAGACUUGUUGGCUAAAGUUGAUAUGCUCGAAUGCAAAGGAAUAGAUACACCAAUGAGCAGCAGCAAAGAUUACAGAUUGCAGAAGAAUGUUGAAGGAGAAAUAGGUUACUACAUACAAUAUCCAUCUCAUUACAGAAAGCAUAGUAGGAGGUCUUCAGUAUCUAGUUUUGACAAGACCUGAGAUUGCCUACUUUGUUCAUAAGUUAAGUCCGUAUGUAUUGCUGCGUAAAUUAGCAAGUGUACUAGUCGGCACAAGUAAUAUAAUGAAGAGUAGAGUAUCGUCCCACAGAGAUUGUAUAUCCUAUUAGUUACCGAAAUUAUUCCAACCCUAAUUUAUUUGAACAAUCGAAUAAAUGAAUUUAGAUUAAAAUUAAAUAAAAUAAAACAAUUAAAAAUUAAAUAAAGAUGUAGACAGUAAUAGAAAUCACCAAGAGAUUAAAACACUAGGACAUUUGAUUUCACCAUAACCAAUCCAAUUUAAUCCUCCAUCUAUGCUAUUAAAAUUGAUUACCCAUGUUGACAGUGAAUUUCCCUAAUUUAUUCAAUAUCCUCUCUCGAGUAAUAUCAAAAAUAUCUCCACAUAUCAACCCACUAUAUCUCUAUGUGAAUUUGAAUAUGCAAAGAUUCAUUAAGCUCUAUGAAAAUUCUUAGAUAAAACUGCACGAAUCACGUUGGCACAUCUCUGUCUUUCGUUCAAUUCAUGGCAUCCAUUACACAGAGCAAAAAUACAUAAAUCUCCUCUCGGUCUCAUUAUGUAUCCUCAAAUCAUUCAAAUAUUGGCCAGAUAUUUAAAAGCAUUAAGCACAAUAAUGAACACUCAAUCAUGGAAUAAUUAAUUAAAAAUAACAUAGAUUUAUGGAAUUAAAUCUUCAUAGUUAGGCUACAUCGUAGCCCUAGUAAAAUAAAUUAGUUCAUGGAAAUAUAAAGAGAAUCCAUUAAUUUAAUUGGAAACAUUCAAGCAAGAUAAUAGAGAAGAGGAAAAGAAAAACUCAAGAAUUAAUGUGUCUUCCUCCUGCUCCAGAUUAUUCCUGCUGCUCUCGGUUUUGCUCAAAACUUGCGGCUGCCUUUUUCUAUCUCCUUUCUCUUGGCUUCUUAUUAUUCUCCUUGUGCGGCUGCCUUUCUUCCCUUUUAUAAUGUUGUGGUUUCUUCCAAAUCCUUAAAGGAAAAGGAUUGCAAAUCCAGCCCACGAAUCCUUAAAUGAAAAUAAUUAAAAACAAAAGCCCAACCGCCUAUUUCAUUCCUAAGCCAAUCAGAAUUAAAAGCAAAAGCCCCUCCACGUGUUGCAUGCCAUAUUUGUCUUUGUAAAUGAAUUCUUCAAUGCUUCCUCACGUGCAUGCAUGCUUAAUGAUUAAUUAAAUUAAAUCCUUUGUGAUUUGUUCCAAUUAAUUCUCUUUAUUUCUUUAUUGUACCUAAAAUAAGAAAAUAUAAAAAUUAAGAUAAAAUUAACAUAAUUAAAUAUAAUUUAACAUAAAAUUAAGUUAUGGAAGCAUUAAAAUAAUAGAUUAAUAUUAGCACAUCAUGUAUCUUCACCAACACUUCAACAUCUUAUGGCAUGCAAACGUGUGCUUAGAUAUUUGAAGGAAACACAAGAUUAUGGGCUGAAAUUUGUUAAGGAAGGUGAGCUAAAGGUUAUAGCAUUUACAGAUGCAGACUGGGGAAGUGAUCUUGAUGACAGAAGAUCCACUGGUGCCUAUUGUGUGUAUCUAGGAAACAACUUAAUCUCAUGGUCCUCAAAGAAGCAAUCUGUAGUUACAAAGUCUUCUGCAGAGAGUGAAUACAGAGCGCUUGCAGCUGCUGUUUCAGAGAUAACAUGGUUAAAAUCUUUAUUUCUUGAGAUUGAUCUAUGUUGUGUGGAGAAACCAGUUAUAUGGUGUGACAAUGUGAGUGCUAAAGAACUUGCUUAUAAUCUAGUGUUUCACUCAAGAACAAAACACAUAGAAAUCGAUCUGCAUUUUAUCAGAGAUAAGGUUCUAGCUGGAGAUCUUAAGAUUCUCUAUAUUCCUAGUGCAGAGCAGAUAGCAGACAUAAUGACUAAGCCCUUAAACUCUCCUCAAUUCAUUUAUCUGAGAAACAAACUCAAUGUGCAUUUAUGCCCCUUGAGUUUGAGGGGGGCUGUGAAGAAAGCUCAUUGUGCUGAACUGAGAAGAGAGAAGAAGCCAGAAAUUAAGAUGCAUCAGCAAUGCCACGUCAACAAUGCUGAGUCAACUGAUUCUGUUAAGCAGCAAUGAGAGUUCACGUGUAUUGCUGUUAGUUAGUAUUAGCUAGUCUCGUACUGAUUAGUUAACUGUUUUUUAGUGUAAUACAAAUUAGUUUGUUAUAGCUUUUACUAAUAAACAUGUAAGUAUAUAAAGUCUGUAAGAACUACUCAUUUUUAGUGUAAUACAAAUUAGUUUGUUAUAGCUUUUACUAAUAAACAUGUAAGUAUAUAAAGUCUGUAAGAACUACUCAUUUUUAACUAAUGAAUUAGAUCCAUAAUAUUCAUAAACUUUCUCUCUGUUUUCUCGAUAACCAAACAGCAUUUUCAAUUCAUUUUACACUUGUCAUGAGCUUCUCAUCUUCUGUCUUGAAGGAAGAAAUUGCAAAAGACGAAUAAAACGAUUUCCUUUACACAUUCAAUCAAUGCUGCUGCCUUCAUAUCUUUAUUAUUAUCGGAGGGAUGAUACUGUUGAGAGCCGAAACCAUUACCCAUACUCACUCCUCUUAUGGCCGUGUCUAACUCUCUACAAUAAUUUCGAUAUUUCUGUUCUUCAGUUCUUCCACUACUCAACAAAUGCGAAGGUUUGCGAUGGCUCCACUCAUUCAAGUUGAUUUUACAUUUGUUACAAUCUACUCCCGCCAUUGCUAGAGCCUCUAUGGACAUGUUUUAACAAGGUGAAGGAGAAGCUAAAUAAAAUUCACAAUUUGCCUGAAAGUUUACAGCUUCCAGGAAAUUCACCACCUCUAUAGAAUUGUAAUAACAAGAAUUGUGGUCUCCGUAAAAGAAUUUAUAAGAGUUAAUAUAAAAGAUUUGUUUAGGAGAAUGAAUUUUAUACGGACUAGAAAUACUCAUGAUUAAUUGGUUAUUCAGAUGGUUUAGAAAUCCUCUCGAUAUUAGGAAGCCAUUUAAGAUUCUGAUUAUUGUUGUUCUAAAUAUAUUAGUUUGCACCAACUUCCAAUUCCACAAUUACUCUGACAGCGGUUUUCACGGACUUAUUUAUGUAUCUGAAUCUUUUUAUUCAUGAAAGAAUAAUCUCUUGCAAACUCACAACUUCAAUUAUGAAUCAACUAGCUAGCAACCAUUUCUUUACUUUUAAUUGCUUUGGAAAUUAAGGAUUCGUCAGCCGCCAGAUUCUGCAGUGAUUCUGUUGCAUUCAAUUAUUUGUUGAACUAUUUAUGCACGAGUGGAGGAGGAAUUCUAGAAUACAUUUGAAAUAAUACAAUCAACCAAUGCAUGCACACCACUUGUAUGGAGAUUUUUCAAAAAUAAAUGCACACAUGUCAUAACAUUAUCUACUUGUUAUAUGACUGACAUGAUAUGUUUUAUGUAUUCUAAAAUUUUCCUGAGUGGAGACCAUGAGUGGUAACAUCCACGUGACAAGAGAGUAUUACAAAGAGAUAGUCUCUUGUCAAUUUGAAUAUUUAUUGUAUUGAAACUACUAAGUAUAUAAGCUCGGACAACCCUAAUUUCAUGAUGAGGGGUUAAAGACAAUACUAUUCUAAAAGAAAAUGGAACGAAAUCGUCCAUCCAUAGCCAUUAUUUGACUUUUAGAUUUGCCCUUCCAAAUUUUAACAAAAUGCGCAGACGAUUUUUAAUUUAUUCAUGUGAACGAAGUACAACAAAAUUAUUGAACCAAUCAGAACCAAGAUGGAAAUGAUCAUAAGCAAAAGUAAUUUGCAAGGACGAAUGGAAGCAGAUAAAUUAUUCUAAUUAAGAGACUAAGUGCAAGUGAAAUAACUGUAGCACUGAUUAUUCGAGUAUGGAGGGAACGUCGUCGAAGAAGGGUAAACUUCUCUGUUUCAGGAUUUCACAAUCCUCAGGACUUGCUGUGUUUGGAUCAAAAGGCUCACGAUCAGGGGGAGGUAAGCCAAGUUUCAUUUGACCCACUCGCCGCGAAUGCAGGACUUGCUUGGUAGUGACAGGUAGCCUAACAGAUUGAUGUUCUUCCAGAGCUGAAUGUAAAUUUUCUGGCCCCCACCUCUCAAGGCAUUUACCUAAAACUGCUGCAUCAGCUAUGACCAUGUUUGUGCUUCUUGCACAGUGAGGGGUUAUGGGAUGAGCCGCAUCUCCAAUUAAGACCACAUUGUCCCAGUAUAUUUGUGUCAAAGGGUCACAAUCAUAUAUAAGGUUAAGGAAAGGCUCCUUUGUUUCUUUUAUCACUCUUGCAAACUCAGGAACCCAAAUCUUCUCUGCUUCUUGGUGCAUCUUCUUGAUCAUGUCACUGCUCACUUUCAUUGUAGCUGAAUCUCCCUGAAAUUACUUAAUCAAUUUAUUAAAGCUAGCUCUGCUAACACGUAUGUAUAUAAAUGAUAAAAUGAAGCAAGUUAGGCAAUCACCUUGAGUUGAGGCUCAGGUUGAGAGAUAAACCAAAUCCAAUUGAGCCUCUUGCACAUAAGCUCAUCAAGGACGGUGUAAGUUCCAGAGGCCAAGUCCAUGUGCACGCCAUUCCCAAGCGUGGGAUAUGCCUUCCGGAUGCCUUGUAUGGUUUCUGAAUUCUCAUUUUCCGAAAAAUCAAAAACCCCCCUCCAAGCACAGUAACCUGUAUACCUGCAAAACAGAAAUGAAAGAUAAACCGUAAAUUUCAAGACAACAGAAAAUAUGAAAAUAUAAUAUAAUUUGUUCAGAAACCUGAGUUUAGAGUCUGGUAAAAAAGUCUGGCGAACUGAUGACCGGCUCCCGUCAGCCGCAACCAGCAAAUCUCCAGCUAUGUCGAUGACCUCAUCAGUUUUAAGAUUCUUAGCUUUGACAUUGACAGUUGAUUUGUCGUGAGAAAUGCAGAAAGUGAGGUACAAGUGACCCCAAAAAAAUAUUUCCGGAGGCAGAGUAUUGUAUAUAAGACUAUGAAGAUCAGUUCAAUGUGCCUGUAAAUAGUUGAAAUUUUCAUCUCUAGCUAGUAUCCGACAGAUGUUCUUUUCCUGAUCUACUGCCCGAUUCUGCACAGAAAGAAAAAUAAAAAAAAAAUCAGCACAACUUGUGGGAACAUCAGUUGAAAUUAAAGCAGUUCUGUGUAGACACAUACAUUACCUGAUCAAUGGUGAGAGGUAAGGUGAUGUUGUGAAGAAGAUCAGGUUGAUGGAGCCAUGACUUAACUAUUUUCUGGGACAAUGGAUGAAGUGCGAUUCCAGCGCCGGUUGGGUUUCCGGUUGGAGGUCCACGUGUCUUCUCGAUCACCACCACAUCCCAACCUGCUAAAAUAAGCGCUUUUUUGCUAUGCUUCCCCCAACUAUUAUAGCUUUUGGCUUCCGCAUCCUCUCACUCAUGUCUCUCUCUUCCUCUCAAACACCUGUAUGUGUGACACAAAGGGACGCUCGCGCAAAGAUAUAUUUAUAUACAGGGGAAAACUUCCCAUUCUGAAUUCAUAAAUCAGGAUGAGCCGGCAAUCAUAUGAACAUUUUUUUAAAAUAAUUAUUUUAAAUUUUUUUUAUACUAUUGUUAAUUUGACUCUCGAACCAAGUCACUACUCUAUAAAUUUUUUUCAAUCUGAACUUAUAUAUUCCAAUUCAAGAACAAGGUUUAAUAAUGUAAUGACCGUGAAAACUAUUAGACCAUAUGGUUUAACAAUGUAAUGAUAUUAUACUAUAAAAUCCUUUAAUAACUUUUUGAAUUGUAAUAAUAUUCAGGAUUCUAAACUAGAUCAGUACUAUAUACACACACAUACACAGGCGGUGCCAUGAAUUAUUUUUAACAGGCUCUAAGUUUAAAUAGUAAUUUAAUUUAAAAAAUUAAUUAACAAAUAACAUAUAUCAAAAUAAAAAUUUAUUAAAAUAUUUAAUUCAAUACACUUAUAAUUGUUCUUGACUUCGUUUUAUAUGUUAAAAACAUUAAAGAAUAAUCUCAUUAUCAAGACUACAAAAUAUGUCUUUUUCUAUUUAUAUAACAAAUCUAUCGUUUAACUAUUGUUCUCCCAUUUGAUUUCACAGAUGAUUUUUUAUCAAAUUUAUAGUUGAAAAUGCCCUUUCUACUGUAUCUCUAGUAACUGGUAAAAUCAAUACUAAUAUCACCAAUAAAUAAACUAAUGAAUAUAAUUUACCUUUCUUAGUCUCACCGCAUUGUUAUUUUAUUAUUUAUUUGAAAACUGAUAAUAAAUUAUGAUUAAAUAUGUUCGCAGCAAUUACAAAGUCUUGAUACAAUGUUUCUAUCUCACAUGAUGACGUAACAUCAAUAUCGAUGAUCGCUAAUUAGGGAUUCCAUUAUCCUAUUUUCCCUCUCACAUGAUGAAUAAAUAAACAGUUUUAAAAUCUCGCGUCACCCAAUGUCUAGAAUGUACCCGGAGGCCGCAGCCUCAAAAGUAGUCAAAUUAAAUUCAAACUCUACAAACUCAAUAACAUGAUUACGUCUUAUUCUUUCUUAAUUGAAGUUGAUUUUUCAAGGAGGCAAUUUGUCCCGUCGUAUGCAGCCAAGUUAGAACGAAAAAAUGCUUAAUUAAAAUCUUACGAUCUUGAAGAAACCUUUCUAAUCAAAAUAAAUUCUCAAGUCAGAUUUUUCAAUCUGGCGAUAUGGAAUUUGCCUAAUAAAACUCUACAUUCAAACAUCACGCUUAUGAAACCCUUGCAUUCAGAAUAAAUUCUUGCGGUAUAUAAAAAAAAAAAAAAUUCUUGCGGGUAAGGAGGAUCAAAUGCAAGAAAAAAGUUUGAUAAAAAUGAAUAAAAGGAAUAAGGUAAAAGGAUGAAUAAUUUUGGUAAAAUUAGGUAUCUUGUGAAUAAAAUUCAUUGAUGGUAUGUUUCCUAUGAAGUUUAUAGUAUGUGAUGAUAGCAUUCUUCUGUAGGUAUUCAGGUUAUUGUGCAUGGCGAGGGGUUCUUGAUUUUUCGGGGAUUGAGGAUUCAGAGAUCAUCAAAGGCAUGAGGAGGGUGUGUCCUGACCUGGGGAAAUGCUUAUACUACGACCUGGCAUCUGGAACUCACAGUGUGUUUUAUGAGCUUCUCAAUAAAAGGCUCAAUUGGGUUUGGUAUAUCAACCAACCUGAGCCCAUAAUGAAGGUGAUUGCUUUGCUUUCUCCCACUCGCGUGCAAUCUUUGUAUAUACUACUAACCAUGAACUGUACUUGACCUUACUUUAAGGGCCGCAGAGGUUUUGCUGUAAGUUGUUAGAACUAAAUGCUGAAUAAAACACUUAGCAUUCAUGAUGCUAGGACGCAGAUUUUUGUGAUGCUUUAGUUUAGUUUCAAAGUUUCUAAAUCUGAAUUUCUACUCACAUUAAGAAACCAUGUAUUUCUCACCUGGUAAAUUCAAUCCUACAUAUUGACUUCGAGGCAACAUAUGCUUCUGGGACCGCUGGACUUCACCUUCUGGGAUGAGCAGAUGACAAGGAGUUGCCACUAAUUACAGAUAGAUACGUUUCUUUUCCAAAUUACAUAUGUUAACCAGCCAGUUCUAAUUAUUAUUAUUUGGAAACUAUGUGCAGGGAAAUUCAGUAACCAUGAGAGUAAGCAAUGACAUGAUCAAGAACAUGCACGAAGAAGCAGAGAAGGUUUGGCUUCCUGAGUUUGUGAAGGUCAUUAAAGAAACAAAAGAACCUUUCAUAAAUGCGAUGUAUGAUUGUGAUCCUCUUAAACAAAUAUUUUGGAGUAACAUAGUAUUAAUUGGAGAUGCUGCUCACCCAACAACUCCUCAUGGUCUGAGAAGCACGAACAUGUCAAUACUAGAUGCAAUGGUCUUGGGAAAAAGCCUUGAAAAGUGGGGAGUGGAGGGUUUGCUUUCAGCUCUUGAAGAAUAUCAGACAGUUCGGCUACCUGUAACCUCAAAACAAGUCCUGCAUUCACGGCGACUUGGUCGAAUUAAACAAGGCUUAGCUCUUCCAGAUCGUGAACCUUUUAAUCCGAAGACAGCAAGUCCACGAGACUGUCAAUAGCUUCAACAGAAAACUAUGCCUUUCUUCGCAGACCUGCCUUCUCUGGUUGACUCAACAUUAUGCUCCACUUGACCUGGGAGAAGAUGAAGCAUGUUCCAAGCAACCGAAUAGUAGUUAAGUUUCAAUUCUUUACACUUAUUUACAUCAUACCCAACUUAGUUCUCAUUGUGUGUAGUCUAGUAGGAAUCUCGUGUUUGUAUAGAACUAUUGUAUCCUUGUCAUCGAUCUUUGUUUUAUUUUCAUUUAUCUUGUUAUGCAGGAAUAAACUUAAUUAUUGUGAUUAAAACAAAAAUUAUGAUCGGUUUCAUGUGCCUAUUAAAGCUAUAAGAAAUUAAACUUUUGAAUUCAAAAGGACAUCCAGCAAUUUGCCACGGGCUGGCGUAAGAGUUCUGACAUUAACAAGCCGUCAUUGUCCCAACUAACUUGAAGUUCUGUCUGGCAAUUCUUCAUAAUUUUUGACGAAAGUAAAAGCUAACAACUAACUUCAACAGAGUAAGCAUUCAAUGGUCGAUUAUUUUAAUAUUAUAUUCACUCCAUAAUUGAGGAUGAUAGUAUGAUACCAAAUGGUUGUGGCUCAGUUGGCAGUGUAGGCUGAGUUUGUGGGAAGAGCUAUCGGGUUCGAUCCCCACUAAACACACCAUUUGGGAGGAGUAAAGAGCUUUAAUUGUGACUAUACUCCGAAUCCGGAUUAAUCGAGGCCCAAUGCGGUCGCGGCACAUCGGAUGGUUUACAAAAAAAAAAAAAUUGAGGAUGAGUCUUUCUUUGUUAUUAUAUCAAUUGUUUUAUAAUUUUAAGAAGAUGAAUCAGCAUUGUAAGCCAUCAUUUUCAUUUAUAAUAAGAUUUAAUAUACAAAAUGACUGGUGAGGUACCACCAUACCAGGCGGUGCAUGGAAAGAUGGGGAAUUUGGGACUUCCAGUGCGGCGAGAGACUGAGCAUGAGGGUGCUGCAGCGGCUGGGCAUCACUUAUGAGGUAGCUACUUAAUGACCUGAUCAGUUGAGUUUUGGGGAAUUUGGAUUUUGGAUCAAUUAGUUAGGGAGUUGAGUGAGUUUUGUAACUUUAAGAAAAUAGAAUUUGACUGUAAUUAUUAGUUAUAUCUUUUACGAUAAGUUUUAAUAAGAGUAAAUUUACAAUUAACUAUUAUUAUUAAAAAAAAAAAAACCUUAGCCUCCUCUUACCUCCGCCCUUGGUACCUGCUAAAACCAAAUACCCAAAUUAUGAAAACGAAGAGCGAGACGAUAUGUUACUGGAUUGUUAUCAAAAUUUGAAGCUAGAACUUAGCAAUUGCCCAAAGAUAAAGAUUUGCUAAGAUUUUAGACCCACAGACUUUUUAGUACCAAUUUAUCUUCUUUCCUUUAAGAAUGAUGGUGAUUUGUAGAGCCAUGCCCUGUAUUCAAAAUAAACAAAUUUGAAGAAUAUAUCUGUUGAUUCCGGUAGGGCAGGAGUCUCAUGCACAAGUUUCUCAUCUAUUUUCUUACCAGAACAAAUUUCUAGUCAAAAUGAGGGUGUGAAAGGAAGAUAAAUAGACAAAAUUUGGCCCACCACUUCAUUCUUCCUAAAUGAAUAGCUUUUUACCCUAUUAAACGAGGAAAAAUGGAUUAGAUUCUCCCUUAAUUUGAUUUGAUCUGAUUAGUGAUUACAAAAUAAAGACCACACACUUUAUUGUAGUGUGUUUCGUCAUUUAAUACAUUGAAGUUUGUAUGUGGCCCUAGUUUUAGAUCACUUAAUUGGAAAGGGACUUCCUUUUUUUUUUUUGAUACAUUGGAGUCUAGUAAAACUAGGCUAAAACAGAACGGGGAAUAGAGGUUUCAUAUAUAUCAUUACAUAAGUAAUAACCAAGACUCUCAGGGGGGUUUUCAAAGACAUGAAGUCUAAGGGGUAAGGAACCAGCAAGUUUCGCCAUGGAAUCUACAGCAAAAUUAGCUUCCCGAUAUAUAUACUUUAUAGGAAUGAGCCAUUGUCUAUUUAUCAGUUCCUUUAUGGCAGUUAUGAGAGAAAAAAUGUGCAUUAGGCAUCAAGCUAGUAGAGGAAAUAAGUUGGGAAACACAUUGGCUAUCCACCUCUGCAAUUAAAUAACGAAUGCCAUGGUCCCAAGCAAUAUUAAGUCCUUGAAAAAGACCCCAAAGUUCUGCAGUAGUCACCGAUCCAAAUCCAAUGUUCAUGCCAAAGCCAAACUGCCACUUUCCAGAGCAAUCCCUCACCAAGCCCCAGCGCUGGCUAGACCAUUCUUUAAUCGUGAUCCAUCAGUAUUUAAUUUGAAAAAAGAUUCAGGGGGAGCUUGCCAUCUAACAUCUUUGAUGAUCUUAUUACUCUGACCGAAACUAAGAGUUGAUCGUGCAUUUUGAAUGUCCUGAGCCCAAGAUUUAAUUUCAGCAACAACAUGAGUGCAACAAGGGGAUUUUUGUGAGAAAAGAAAUUGAUUACGCCAAAACCAAAUUUUCCAGAUAGCCACUCCAAAUUGAUUACGCCAAAACAACAUGAAUGCAGCAAGGGGAUUUUUGUGAGUAAAGAAAUUGAUUACUCCAAAACCAAAUUUUCCAGAUAGCCGCUCCAAAUAAACAUGCCCAUUCAUCCCACACUUCAUUGAUACCAGUCUUUCCCAAGUUGAAACAGAGCCAAUCACGAAGAUUAAAGGAGAAAAAUUGAUGUCUGAAGUUGACUGGAAUUAAACAAUUCCAUAUUCUCUUUGCAACAAAACAGUCCCUAAGUGCAUGCAUCGCGUUUUCUUUCUCAUGGCCACAUCUUUCGCAAUUCAUUUUAUCCAGAAUAUGCCUCUUAAAAAGCUCCUCUCUAGUUUUAAUUUUUCCAUGCAUCACCAACCAUAAAAGAAUUUAACUCGUUGGGGCCCGGAAAGGGACUUCCUUAAUUAUUUUUCAAAAGCACAUCCUAUAAAACUCCAACAGAUGGAGUCCAAGUUCUAGAAUAGAUGAAUAAAUGAUGUCAAUUAAAUGGCAAUAGCACACCAAAGAAGACAGAGAAACAAGUUAGGAGAGAUUCUAGAGUAUACCAAAAGUAUUACAUCUAAUUAAUAUUUAUAUGUUAUGUGUGUAUUUAUUUUAAAAAAUUAUUAUGUAAUUAAUAAUUAUAUUUAAUUGAACUAUACAUAUCAUAUAUGUAUUAGUUAUAUGUAGCACCUAUAUUAUACUCUAGAAUUUCUCACAAGAUAAUAUGUCAAUAUACCACAAACACAAAGUUUGAAUCCUGUGAAAUAUGUUUAAAAUUGACUCUUGUAGAAAUUAUUAUGUGGUGGUGAAAUUAUUAUGAUAAAUAAUAUAUUAACACAUGUCAAUAUAUAAUUAUGCUACAUCAAUGAGGGUACCAUCGGUUUCACAUUUUUAUUUUACGUCUUAACUUUUGUAUUGGCCAUAUUAGUUUUGUAUUAUAUAUAUAUAUAUAUAUAUAACUACUAAGUUAUUUUUUGCAAUCAAUAAAUAUCUAAUAACUCAAUACUUUUAUAUUUAUGCUCAUAAAAUUUUUACUUUUUAAAUAAAUAUUAAAAUAUCUUAAAAAUAAUAAAUUAUAUUUUUUUAACACUAAUUAAAACAAAUAAUUUUCACAUUUAAUCUUGUUUUAGUUUAUAACAUGGACCAUUCACUCACCACUUGGCAUAACUUUGUAACCUAGGUCCUGUUUGGAAUCGAAGUAUUAUACCUUUUAAGUUACAACUGCCGUAAAAAUUUUGUAAUUAUAAAAAAAAAAUUAAUAGCUCUGAACUUAAUGAUUGCUUCUAAACUUUAGGUAUUUAUUUAUUUAAUUAAUUGUCUAAAAUUUACUUGUUAAUGUUAUUGACAAUACUUAUGUAUUGAUUAAAAAGAUGAAGUAAGGUAUUGAUCUUAUUGAUCAACAGAAAUAUUUUAUAUUAGAUUGACGUAUUUGUGUAUUUAUUUUAAUGUUAAAACUUUAAUUUCUCAUUUAUAUUGAUAAAAUUUAGAAAUGGGUAUUAUAUGUAGAGUUUUAAGCUCCUAUUAUAAAUUUAUAGUUUGACUUAUAUAAUUAAAUUUAUUUUUUGUCUUUUUAAAAGUAUUGUUUUAAUAUUUGUGAAGUAAAAACCCAUUGCAGGUUACGCGAGGAUUUAGUAAUUGUUCAAACCUACAGCAAGUGAAUUUUUUUUUUUAAAUAAAAAACCCAUAGCGAGUUAAGAAUUUACUGAUUUAAUUACUUUUUACAAGUGCAUGUUUGAUAAUGAUAAAAUCACUGCACUGAAAGGAAUUCUAUGAAGAAUAUAAUUCUUGUUCUGUAUUUUUAAUGAAAUUUACAGAAUUAUUUAUACAAAUAAAGACAAUGUAGCCGUUGAAAGGCUUAAUAAUAUUAAAGGAGAAUAAGUGAAUACUUCCUAAACUAUUGCACAAUAUCUUUAUAAAAUAGGAAUGAAAUAUUCCUACAUGAUAUUGACAUUCAAGUGCAAAAAUCGUGCCGGGCAUAUUCCUUGACAAAUAACUUUGACGUGAGUGUUAGGAAAUUGGUAGGUGAAGCAGACACGCAGCUAAAGUGAAAUUGUAAGAAAAUAAAGAACAAGCACAAUAGAGAACACCAGAAAUUACGUGGUUCGGCAUUUAGCCUACGUCCACGGGCAAAAACAGAAGGAAAUAUUUUACUAGUGAAAAGGAGUUACAAGUAUUGUAAUAUUUUAGCUCACUACUCAAAACCCCAAUACACCCAAACUCUCUCAAUCACUGUAAUAAGAGCUUAUAAAUGCAAGCUCUUAAACUCCCUAAAUUGCUCUCUAAAAUGGAAUGCAUAAACUCUUCAUUUGUACUUCUAUUUAUAGCAAACUAGUGGCCAAGAAAAUCAAAGCCGUGUUCACCAAAUUCUUCAUCAAAACCGUGUGCAGCAAAUUCAAUCUUCAAACUUGUUGCAAGCUUACCAUUCUUGUCAAAGCUUCUAGAUGCAGCCAUGCCAAACACUUCUAGAUGCAGCCAUGCCAAACACUUCUAGAUGCAGCCAGUAGUGGAUUUCCUUUUAUCAAGGUCUCCUACAAAAUCUGAAUCCACAUAGCCACUGAUAGUAAACUCUGAUCCUCCAUAACAUAAUGCAACAUCUGAGGUUCCUCUGAUGUAUCUCAGAAUCCUCUUCACAGAUAUCCAAUGCUCUCCACCAGGAUUCGCCAUGUAUCGACUGACUGCUCCCACUGCUUGUGCAAUGUCCGGUCUAGUACAUAUCAUAGCGAACAUCAAACUUCCCACUGCUGAUGCAUACGGUACUCGAGACAUCUCCUUCCUCUCUGCUUCAUUGCUAGGACACAUACUUGAGGAUAAUUUGAAAUUAACAGGAAGUGGGGUAAAAAUUGACUUAUAAUCUUGCAUGUUGAAGCGUCGCAAGAUUUUCUUCAAGUAAUUCUUCUGCGAAAGUCAAAUCUUCUUGUUAUUUCUGUCUCGGUGAAUUUGCAUCCCUAGAAUCUUGUUUGCUGGUCCCAAGUCCUUCAUUUCAAACUCCCUAGCCAACUGUGCCUUCAAUUCUUGGACUCGAUCUUUGUUGGGGCCUGGUACCAACAUGUCAUCCACAUACAACAGUAAAAUAAUGAAAUCAUUAUCUUCAAACCUCUUGUAAUAUGCACAAUGGUCUGAACUGAGUCUGUUGUAUCCAAGGCUCAUAAUGAAGGAAUCAAAUCUCUUAUACCAACACCUCGGCGCCUGUUUGAGACCGUAUAGAGAUUUGUUCAACCUGCAAACCAAGUUCUCCUUUCCUGUUUCUGCAAAACCUUCUGGUUGGAGCAUAUAUAUUUCUUCUUCAAGUUCUCCAUGAAGAAAUGCAGUUUUCACAUCUAACUGCUCUAGAUGUAAGUCAAAUGUAGCACACAUUGCCAAGACUAUUCUGACUGUUGUGAGUCGAACCACCGGAGAAAAUAUCUCGUUAAAGUCAAUACCUUCUUUCUGAGCAUAUCCUUUCACCACCAGUCUUGCACGAUACCGCUCCACUUAGUCAUUGCCAUCACGUUUGAUCUUGUAGACCCAUUUGUUUCCAAUGGCUUUUCUUCCACGUGGUAGUGGUACAAGUUCCCAUGUCUUGUUCUUGUGUAGAGCUUCAAUUUCUUCCUGCAUUGCUGUCAUCCACAAAGCAACAUCUGAGCUGUUUAAAGCUUCAUGGAAAGUUAAAGGCUCUCCAUCCUCUGUCAGAAGACAGUAUGCAACAUUGAUCUCUAUGACAUACUCCAAGUGCCACGUUGGCGGUCGUCUCUCACGAGUUGACCGACGAAUUUCUUGAGCCUCGGACUCGACUGGUUCUUGUUCCUCUUGCUCUAGUGCUGCUUCAGAAGAAUCUGAAUCUUCUGGAUUAUUUUUCACAUAUACCGGUACAGUCUCUGACUUUUCUUUUACAGUGCUAUCAUCAUCAUCUUUCCUUUGCAGUUGAUCUUCUACAAAAAUAACAUCUCUGCUGAUGACGAUCUUGUGGGCAGUGGGAUCCCACAGACGAUACCCCUUUACUCCAUCAGCAUAUCCCAAGAAGAUACAUCUUCUAGAUUUUGCAUCCAGCUUUGUUCUUUCUCGGGCAUUGUACAUCACGUACACAGGACAUCCAAAUGCAUGUAGGUAGGAAUAAUCAGUUGGCUUUCCAGUCCACAUCUCAAUCGCCGUCUUCAACCCAAUUGCUGUAGAUGGCGACCGAUUUACUAUAUAACAGGCAGUUUUGGCUGCUUCUGCCCAGAAUGAAUUGGGUAGAUCAGCAGUCCUCAACAUAGCUCUUAUCCGUUCUGUAAGAGUUCUGUUCAUCCGCUCUGCCACUCCAUUUUGUUGAGGAGUGUAUGCCACCGUAAACUGCCUCUGAAUACCUUCUUGCUUACAGAAAGCAAGAAACUCUCCGUCUGUAUACUCUCCACCAUUAUCUGUCCUCAAGCACUUGAUCUUUUUACCAGAUUCAAGUUCCACCCGCGCUUUGUAUUCUUUAAACACUAGAAAUACAUCUGACUUUUUCUUAAUUGGAUACACCCAACAUCUUCUGGAAUAAUCAUCAAUGAAAGUCACCAUGUACUUUGCACCUCCCAUGGAUAUAUCCAGUGAUUCCCAAACAUCAGAAUGAAUCAAGUCUAGAAUGCAUUUACUUCUAGCAAUAGAUCUACUAAAUUUUAAUCUAUGCUGCUUACUUAUAACACAAUGCUCGCAAAAUGGUAAACUUACCGAUUUGAGCCCCGGAAGCAAUUUUCGCUCAGAGAGAAUCUUCAAACCUUGUUCUGACAUGUGACCAAGUUUGAGAUGCCACAUCAUAGUUGACUCUUCUCCAUUUGAUGCGACACACGCAUCAGCCUCCUGUAGUGUUUCUCCUUUAAGCAUGAAUAGAUUAGCACCGAUCUUUUCUGCUUUCAUCAAUACAAGCGCGCCUUUAACAAUCUUCAUAAUUCCAUUCUCCACAUGAGUUUUGCACCCAUGAUUGUCUAUUUGUCCUAAAGACAAUAGAUUUUUCUUCAGGCCAUUGACAUGUCGUACCUCCCCAAUUGUGCGAAUUGUACCAUCAAAUAUUUUUAUUUUGAUAGUACCAAUACCAGCGAUCUCCAAGGCAUGAUUGUUACCCAUAUAUACAAAUCCUCCUGAGAUAGGUUCAUAUGUGUGGAACCAUUCUCUCCUAGAGGUCAUGUGCCAGGUAGCUCCUGAGUCUAUAAGCCAGACAUCAGAAAGUCAUUUUCUGCCUUCUGAAACAGUUGUUGCCUCACUGUAGAGAAUUUCGCCAUCAUCCGAGGUACUUGCUACACACCCCUGAGCAUUUGAUGACUCAGGUUCUUUGCCUUCUCUUCACUUCUGGUUACUCCAACACUCUUUCUUGACGUGCCCUUUCUUGCCACAGUUGUAGCAUUUAACAUUCUUCUUACUUCUGGAUUUUGAUCUACCAUGAUUUUGACUCCCACUAGGGCCACGUUCCGUUGAUCUCCCUCUCAUCACCGAUAGCGCCUCCGCUUGCUGCGAACUUGCUAGUCUGUUUUCCUUAUUUUUCCGCAUGCUCUCCUCAUUUAAUACGGAGGCUGCAACAUCGUCGAAAACUAGACUGUCCGCUGGAUUAUUGUUCGUCAGGUUGAUGAUGAGUUGAUCAUACGAAUCUGGUAGACUUUGAAGUAGAAGCUCUGCAUGUUCAUUUUCCUCUAUAUUAUGACCCAACGUUGUGAGUUGUGAAAAUAGAGUCUUCAAGGUGUUGAUGUGGUCAGUCACUAUUGUAGAUUCUGCCAUUCGAAGAGUAUAGAGUUUCCUCUUCAAGAAGAUUUUAUUGUGUAAUGACUUGGCCUCGUACAAUUUUGUGAGAGUAUCUCAUAUUUCCUUCGCCGUAUUUUUCUCUGCCACACUGGAUAAUACUCCAUCUGCAAGUGCCAAGUGUAGAUCAGAAAUGGCGUUGCCGUCUACCUCGUUCCACUUGUCAUCAGUUAUCUCCAUGGGCCUUUCUCCAAUUGCUGCCAAGCAAUUAUUUUUCCUCAAUACAGCUUUCAUCUUCAUUUUCCACAACGAAAAAUUAUUUCCGUUAAAUUUCUCAAUUUCAUACUUUGCCGCCAUUUUGUUGAUAAAUACUGCACACAAGCUAGUAUACCACCUUGAAUAGUUGUGAGUAUGUGUGAGAAUGCACACCAGGAAAGUUCCCAGGAAAGACUGGAGGGGUCACAAUGGUCCCACUUAAAACCCAGACUCCUUAAGCUCUUAUUGCCUUUGUGACAGAACUUUCCUAGACAUGUACAAAACCACACAGUUGCUUUACUCACACCACUAUUCCCUGCUUUGCACCGUAAAAUUCUUGGAUCGCUCCCACCGUUUCACGUGAAUAGUACCGUAUACGUGAAUAGUACCGUAUAUGUGAACAAAACCGUAUACGUGAACAAUACCGUAUACGUGAAAUAGUGUCGUAUAUGUGUAUAGUGCCGUAUACGUGAAUAGUACCCCUUACGUGAACAGUUCCUGACUCCAAAAAAUACAACCAAUAGCUCUGAUACCACUGUUAGGAAAUUGGUAGGUGAAGCAGACACGCAGCUAAAGUGAAAUUGUAAGAAAAUAAAGAACAAGCACAAUAGAGAACACCAGAAAUUACGUGGUUCGGCUUUUAGCCUACGUCCACGGGCGAAAACAGAAGAAAAUAUUUUACUAGUGAAAAGGAGUUACAAGUAUUGUAGUAUUUUAGCUCACUACUCAAAACCCCAAUACACCCAAACUCUCUCAAUCACUGUAAUAAGAGCUUAUAAAUGCAAGCUCUUAAACUCCCUGAAUUGCUCUCUAAAAUGGAAUGCAUAAACUCUUCAUCUGUACUUCUAUUUAUAGCAAACUAGUGGCCAAGAAAAUCAAAGCCGUGUUCACCAAAUUCUUCAUCAAAACCGUGUGCAGCAAAUUCAAUCUUCAAACUUGUUGCAAGCUGACCAUUCUUGUCAAAGCUUCUAGAUGCAGCCAUGCCAAACACUUCUAGAUGCAGCCAUGCCAAACACUUCUAGAUGCAGCCAACUUUGACAGUGAGCAAGUCCUGUGGAGUGAUAAACCCGUUCUUGACUUGACCGUUGAUGACUUUCCUUUUGGUAAUCUUGGUCUGCUUGCUUAACAAGUGGUACCCGUAACCCAUCCAUACAGCUAGCCUAGCUAAACAGCAUAAAUAAAUGUCUAACGAUUCUUAUAUAAAAAGCCACCACCCCAAGCCAAAAGAAAAAAAAAAUUGUGCUGAACACAACAAUAUAAUUUCUUCAGUUAUAUUUACUUGGAAACAAGAGAGAUGAAUAUGAAGAAGCAGAAGCCAAAAGCUAUUGUAGUUGGAGGAAGCAUUGCUGGGGAAUCAUGCGCAAAAGCACUUGUUUCAGCAGGCUGGGAUGUUGUUGUGAUUGAGAAAACUCGUGGACCCCCAACCCAAAACCCAACCGGUGCUGGCCUUGGACUCGAUCCAUUGGCUCAGAAAAUUGUUCAGUCAUGGCUCCAUGAACCUGAACUUCUUUACAACAACACUUUACCUAUCACCAUUACUGAGGUAUAUAAAAUAAUAUAUUUAAUUUCUUUUUUCCCAGUAGAAUCCAGUAGUGCUUUGAAUUAUUUUUUUUUCUUUUAACCACGAGGUAUCCUGGGGAGGGCCCCAACUGUGGGAGACACCUUUAAGCCUGUACCACAACCCAGACUGGAAGUCCCCGCUCGAACCGGGAGACACAGGUUCUCCCAACAAAGGCGACUUCCCUGCAACUCGUGUAUACUUUGAAUUAUACCGAUCUCUUAAAGAUAUUAGUUGCACACGUGUAUAUACAAUGGUGUAUGGUUAAGAUUUGAUAAAAGUAUAUUUUGCUCUGCACAAAAUACAAUUUAGAAUGGAAUUUCAUUGGGAAAAAAAUAUCUAUAUAUGUUGAAUAUAUAAAAUUUCAAUUUGUGUUUAAUUGCAGAACCUAGCAACAGAUGGGGAAAAGAAGAUCAGCUGGGUAAUAGGAAGAGAAGAAGGCGCUAGGUUUCUGACAGCAUAUUGGGCUGAUCUUCAUGGCCUUAUAUACAAUACUCUGCCACCUGAAAUAUUUUUAUGGGGUCACCAGUACCUCUCUUUCUGUAUUUCUGAAGACAAAUUAACUGUCAAAGUUAGAGCUAAGGAUCUUGAGACUGAUGAAAUAAUCGAGAUAGUAGGAGAUUUGCUCGUCGGAGCAGAUGGGAUCCUCUCAUCAAUUGGUCAGAGCAUUCUACCUGACUUCAAAUUGAGGUUUGUGCUUUGCUUGUGACUAUCAAUAAAAGUAAUUAAUUUUUGAGUAUUUUGUUUCAUAAAUUUCAAUGUGUUUUAAUAGGUACACAGGAUACUGUGCGUGGAGAGGUGUUUUUAAUUUUUCAGAAAACUAUUCAGAAACCAUCUUAGGCAUUCGAAAAUCGUAUCCUGAUAUUGGGAAAUGCCUUUACACGAAUAUUGGUUCAGGAUCUCACAUCAUACUCACUGAGCUUAAGAAAGAGAAGUUCAAUUGGGGUUGGUAUGUCAAUCAACCUGAGCCCGAGCUCAAGGUAACUGCUUACUUUUGUUUCAUCUUUUUAUUUUGUUUUCGGGGUUUGGGUUGAGUGCUAAAAUCUAAUUUUUGCAAACGAUCAACACAGCUCAGACCAUCACUGGAUCCAAUUUCUUUUUUAUUUUAAUUUUCCGGUUUAUCAAUGCAGUAUGACGUCACAUUGGGAAACAAAUUAUUUUAUUCUCUGCAGGGAAAUACAACUUCUGUGAAAGUAAGCAGUGACAUGAUCGAGGAGUUGCACCAAAGAGCAGAGCAGGUUUGGUUACCUGAAUUGUCAAGAAUGAUCAAAGAAACAAAGGAUCCUUUCCUUAAUGCUAUAUAUGAUUGCGAUCCUUUGGAGAAAAUCAUCUGGGACAGAGUGGUGCUAACAGGAGAUGCAGCUCACCCGACAACUCCACACUCUGCCAGAAGCACAAACAUGGCGAUAAUAGAUGCAGCAGUGUUAGGAAAAUGCCUCGAGAAGUGGGGGCCGGAUCAUUUAUACUCUGCUCUGGAAGAAUAUCAAUCCAUUAGGAAACCUGUAACUUCAGCACAAGUUCUACAUUCGCGACGAUUGGGUCAAAUGAAACAAGGGUUAAGUAUUCCUGGAAGGGAGCGGCCUUUUGAUCCAAAGACAGCAAGUCUAGAGGACUCGGAAUUCAUCGUUGUGCCUCCUUUCGACGUUGUUCCUCCGAUUCUUGAUUCAAUUUUUCGUUCUGCUUGAUAACUUCAAAGGACACGGCUUGGUCUGUUCAUUAUGCUAACGAUAGCU